CCAAUAACCCAAUCCAAAGCAGUGGAAGAAACGACCACAGCAACAACAGACAACAGACAAUGUCCACAAAUCCCACGCAAGUCAAGGUACAGGGGCUACUACUAGCAUAAUACUAAGAAUGGAAUAUGAAAUAAUGAAAUAAAAUGAAAUAUGAAAUAACGAAAUAACAAAGGUUAGAAGUCACCGGAUUUCGCUUGGAGCUGCGGCUGCUGGAGACGGAGCGGCGGGUGCAGACGGAGUUGCGGCUGAAGACCGAGCUUCGGCUGUUGGGG
Molecule: long non-coding RNA, 272 nt
Filed under: Capsicum annuum
Lineage: Eukaryota; Viridiplantae; Streptophyta; Magnoliopsida; Solanales; Solanaceae
Description: long non-coding RNA (CANN_LNC018045)
Source: RNAcentral